CCUACGGGAGGCAGCAGUGAGGAAUAUUGGUCAAUGGACGAGAGUCUGAACCAGCCAAGUAGCGUGAAGGAUGACUGCCCUAUGGGUUGUAAACUUCUUUUAUAUGGGAAUAAAAUGUUCCACGUGUGGGAUUUUGUAUGUACCAUAUGAAUAAGGAUCGGCUAACUCCGUGCCAGCAGCCGCGGUAAUACGGAGGAUCCGAGCGUUAUCCGGAUUUAUUGGGGUUAAAGGGAGCGUAGGUGGAUUGUUAAGUCAGUUGUGAAAGUUUGCGGCUCAACCGUAAAAUUGCAGUUGAAACUGGCAGUCUUGAGGACAGUAGAGGUGGGCGGAAUUCGUGGUGUAGCGGUGAAAUGCUUAGAUAUCACGAAGAACUCCGAUUGCGAAGGCAGUUCACUGGACUGCAACUGACACUGAGGCUCGAAAGUGUGGGUAUCAAACAGGAUUAGAUACCCGUGUAGU
This 459-nucleotide ribosomal RNA is filed under the name uncultured bacterium. RNAcentral describes it as "partial 16S ribosomal RNA". It matches the Rfam family "Bacterial small subunit ribosomal RNA", at positions 338 to 794 of the family's 1533-position model. The record is from RNAcentral.